CCUACGGGAGGCAGCAGUGGGGAAUAUUGCACAAUGGGGGAAACCCUGAUGCAGCGACGCCGCGUGAGUGAAGAAGUAUUUCGGUAUGUAAAGCUCUAUCAGCAGGGAAGAAGAAAGACGGUACCUGACUAAGAAGCCCCGGCUAACUACGUGCCAGCAGCCGCGGUAAUACGUAGGGGGCAAGCGUUAUCCGGAUUUACUGGGUGUAAAGGGAGCGUAGACGGCUGUGCAAGUCUGAAGUGAAAGGCCGGGGCUCAACCCUUGGACUGCUUUGGAAACUGUGGGGCUAGAGUGCUGGAGAGGUAAGUGGAAUUCCUAGUGUAGCGGUGAAAUGCGUAGAUAGUAGGAGGAACACCAGUGGCGAAGGCGGCUUACUGGACAGUAACUGACGUUGAGGCUCGAAAGCGUGGGGAGCAAACAGGAUUAGAUACCCUAGUAGUC
Molecule: ribosomal RNA, 441 nt
Filed under: uncultured bacterium
Lineage: Bacteria
Description: partial 16S ribosomal RNA
Rfam family: Bacterial small subunit ribosomal RNA
Source: RNAcentral